AGAGUUUGAUCCUGGCUCAGAUUGAACGCUGGCGGCAGGCCUAACACAUGCAAGUCGAGCGGCAGCACGGGAAGCUUGCUUCCUGGUGGCGAGCGGCGGACGGGUGAGUAAUGCAUAGGAAUCUGCCCGGUAGUGGGGGAUAACCUGGGGAAACCCAGGCUAAUACCGCAUACGCCCUACGGGGGAAAGCAGGGGCUCUUCGGACCUUGCGCUAUCGGAUGAGCCUAUGUCGGAUUAGCUGGUUGGUGAGGUAAUGGCUCACCAAGGCGACGAUCCGUAGCUGGUCUGAGAGGAUGAUCAGCCACAUCGGGACUGAGACACGGCCCGAACUCCUACGGGAGGCAGCAGUGGGGAAUAUUGGACAAUGGGCGCAAGCCUGAUCCAGCCAUGCCGCGUGUGUGAAGAUGGCCUUAGGGUUGUAAAGCACUUUCAGUGGGGAAGAAAGCCUUGCGGUUAAUACCCGCGAGGAAGGACAUCACCCACAGAAGAAGCACCGGCUAACUCCGUGCCAGCAGCCGCGGUAAUACGGAGGGUGCGAGCGUUAAUCGGAAUUACUGGGCGUAAAGCGCGCGUAGGUGGCUUGAUAAGCCGGUUGUGAAAGCCCCGGGCUCAACCUGGGAACGGCAUCCGGAACUGUCAGGCUAGAGUGCAGGAGAGGAAGGUAGAAUUCCCGGUGUAGCGGUGAAAUGCGUAGAGAUCGGGAGGAAUACCAGUGGCGAAGGCGGCCUUCUGGACUGACACUGACACUGAGGUGCGAAAGCGUGGGUAGCAAACAGGAUUAGAUACCCUGGUAGUCCACGCCGUAAACGAUGUCGACUAGCCGUUGGGUCCUUCGCGGACUUUGUGGCGCAGUUAACGCGAUAAGUCGACCGCCUGGGGAGUACGGCCGCAAGGUUAAAACUCAAAGGAAUUGACGG
RNAcentral lists this ribosomal RNA (917 nucleotides) under uncultured bacterium. RNAcentral's name for it is "bacterial SSU rRNA". It matches the Rfam family "Bacterial small subunit ribosomal RNA", at positions 8 to 916 of the family's 1533-position model. The record is from RNAcentral.